RNAcentral lists this transfer RNA (90 nucleotides) under Candidatus Nealsonbacteria bacterium CG_4_10_14_0_8_um_filter_37_14. RNAcentral describes it as "tRNA-Ser". It matches the Rfam family "tRNA". Rfam says of the family: Transfer RNA (tRNA) molecules are approximately 80 nucleotides in length. RNAcentral also lists the same sequence under 2 other names. The record is from RNAcentral. Lineage: Bacteria; Candidatus Nealsoniibacteriota.
GGAGGGAUCGCAUAGUGGACGAGUGCGCGGCACUGGAGAUGCCGUAGGGUAGAAAUACUCUCCAGGGUUCGAAUCCCUGUCCCUCCGCCA